RNAcentral lists this unclassified non-coding RNA (245 nucleotides) under Hevea brasiliensis (rubber tree). The record is from RNAcentral. Lineage: Eukaryota; Viridiplantae; Streptophyta; Magnoliopsida; Malpighiales; Euphorbiaceae.
GGCAAUAAUAAACCCAUAGAAUGUCAAGUGGUGAAAGAGAUUGCUAGUGGCAGAGGAAAGACAGCGGCUCAGGUGUGUCUGAGAUGGGUGCACGAGCAAGGUGUUAGUGUUGUUGUGAAGAGCUUUAACAAGGAAAGAAUGAAAGAAAACUUGAAGAUAUUUGAUUGGGAGCUAAGUGAGGAAGACUUGCAAAAGAUAAAUCAAAUUCAACAAAAAAGAGGUAAUCUAGCAGAGGCAUUCGUCGC